AUAGCGUAUACUAAAGUUGUUGCAGUUAAAAAGCUCGUAGUUGGAUCUCGGGUCGUGCCGAGCGGUUCGCUUCGCGGCGGUACUUCUCGGCGCGGCCUAGCCGCCGGUCUUCGCUUGGUGCUCUUCGUUGAGUGCCUCGCGCGGCCGACAGAUUUACUUUGAAAAAAUUAGAGUGCUCAAAGCAGGCGCUUCGCUUGUAUAGUCGUGCAUGGAAUAAUGGAAUAGGACCUCGGUUCUAUUUUGUUGGUUUUCGGAAUCUGAGGUAAUGAUCAAUAGGGACAGACGGGGCGAUUCGUAUUGCGGCGCUAGAGGUGAAAUUCUUGGACCGUCGCAAGACGAA
Molecule: ribosomal RNA, 340 nt
Filed under: uncultured eukaryote
Lineage: Eukaryota
Description: SSU rRNA
Rfam family: Eukaryotic small subunit ribosomal RNA
Source: RNAcentral